GAUGACUCUCGCGCCGUAGUAUUAUGCGAUUUGAAAGUCACGCGGUAAAUUUGCGGGAAGCUGGCUGCCAGUCGACUACAUAAGUAAAGCAGGCAGCGUGCCUGGCCAGUACUUAGGUGACUUUCGCGCCGUGAUGUUAAGUGAUUUGAAAGUCGCGCGGUAAAUUCGCAGCAAGCUAGCUGUCAGUUGGCUAUAUAAGUAAAGCAGGCAGCGUGCCUGGCCAGUGCUUUGGUGACUUUCGCGCCGUGAUGUUAUGUGAUUUGAAAGUCGCGCGGUAAAUUCGCAGCAAGCUAGCUGCAAGUUGGCUAUAUAAGUAAAGCAGGCAGCGUGCCUGGCCAGUACUUAGGUGACUUUCGCGCCGUGAUGUUAAGUGAUUUGAAAGUCGCGCGGUAAAUUCGCAGCAAGCUAGCUGUCAGUUGGCUAUAUAAGUAAAGCAGGUAUCGUGCCUGGCCAGUGCUUAGGUGACUUUCGCGCCGUGAUGUUAAGUGAUUUGAAAGUCGCGCGGUAAAUUCGCAGCAAGCUAGCUGUCAGUUGGCUAUAUAAGUAAAGCAGGCAGCGUGCCUGGCCAGUGCUUAGGUGACUUUCGCGCCGUGAUGUUAAGUGAUUUGAAAGUCGCGCGGUAAAUUCGCAGCAAGCUAGCUGUCAGUUGGCUAUAUAAGUAAAGCAGGCAGCGUGCCUAGCCAGUGCUUAGGUGACUUUCGCGCCGUGAUGUUAAGUGAUUUGAAAGUCGCGCGGUAAAAUCGCGGGAAGCUAGCUGCAAGUUGGCUAUAUAAGUAAAGCAGGCAGCGUGCCUGGCCAGUGCUUAGGUGACUUUCGCGCAGUAGUGUUAUGUGAUUUGAAAGUCGCGCGGUAAAAUCGCGGCAAGCUAGCUGCAAGUUGGCUAUAUGGCAGCGUGCCUGGCCAGUGCUUACUUGACUUUCGCGCCGUGAUGUUAUGUGAUUUGAAAGUCGCGCGGUAAAUUCGCGGCAAGCUAGCUGCAAGUUGGCUAUAUAAGUAAAGCAGGCAGCGUGCCUGGCCAGUGCUUAGGUGACUUUCGCGCCGUGAUGUUAAGUGAUUUGAAAGUCGCGCGGUAAAUUCGCAGCAAGCUAGCUGUCAGUUGGCUAUAUAAGUAAAGCAGGUAUCGUGCCUGGCCAGUGCUUAGGUGACUUUCG
Bactrocera dorsalis (oriental fruit fly) is the source of this 1151-nucleotide long non-coding RNA. RefSeq lists it as uncharacterized. The transcript is spliced from 9 exons. Lineage: Eukaryota; Metazoa; Arthropoda; Insecta; Diptera; Tephritidae. The record is from RefSeq and is a predicted model, not a curated record.